Molecule: long non-coding RNA, 1906 nt
Organism: Oxyura jamaicensis (ruddy duck)
Lineage: Eukaryota; Metazoa; Chordata; Aves; Anseriformes; Anatidae
Exons: 3
Source: RefSeq, a predicted model, not a curated record
AAGACCCCUCCUUACUCUAGUGGAAUAGAGAUGGUUAUUUGACUUUAAAUAAUGCUGUCUAUCUUGCAGGCGACAAGACUCAGGGAAGUGAAAAUGCAAGUGUUGAGCAGAAUUUCUGAGGAUGAUUAUUUUAGCUGGAAGCCAUGGGAGCAUCACGAGAGCAUUGCAAUGAGGCUGAGGGAACCUCUGCAGAAGGGCUUCUGCUCUAAAAUGGAUGGAUAACUCCAAGCACAAAAUGGCUUAAGAUAAGAGGGCCGUGAGUAAAACCUAAAUGAUGUGUCUUAGCAUUAAAGCAAAUGCUUAGUGGGAGCUGAGGCUUGUUAGCAAACUUUGAGCACACUUUUUUAUACACUGAGGUGUAUAUAUUGCUCUAAAAAUAUAUGUAUUAGUUCCUUUAAGAUGUCAGUAAUACAGCAGUCACUAGCAUGGAUGCAUGGGCCACCAUGACCAUAGGGGUUCACCAGCCUUGCAGUUGGUGUGGUGAACUCUAUAUAGGAAAAGCAGCUUUGUUUCCAGACAGCACGCAUGUAGCUAUAACUUUUUAAUCAAUUCAGCUGAAUUGCUGUGAACUCAUCUCUGGCAAAUCUUCAGCUGUUUCACACUCCUGAAGCCAUGCGCAGAGACGGGUACUGAACAGGUACUGACAUUCUAUCUUUCUGCACUUUAAAUACAGUUCUUUGUCCCUUAGUUGUUUGUAAAUUUCUGAUUUUUUUUCUCACAUGAAAUUUGGUCUCCUUCCAUAGACUAAAUAGUCUUUGAAGGACUGAGUGAAAGAAACUUGUCCACUUCUUGGAUCCUCAGCUGGGGAUCCAAUUUCUUCAUGAUACUCUGCUCCAUUUCUCCCCUCCCUCUUUGCCCAGGCAGAGGUGUGAAGUUGCAAUUUCAAGCCAUAGCCUGCUUCUUCACUAUCCUCAAAGCAAUCUGACCAUUGCCAGAGGGUUACCUCAGAAAGAAGAGAGUUUAGUGUCCAGCCCUGGCAUGUGUUAGAGCAUGGUGUGCUUGUCUUUCAAAAUAACCACAUACAGUUGUACUCAGAGCACGCUGAGGGCUGCCAAGGGAAGGACUCUUCCUAGCAAGGUCAGUGAGCAGGACUACAGCCUACCUGCUGUACUAAGUGCUCACUUGUGUCCCUGCCCAUAUUCCUUUUUUUUUUUUUUUUUUUUUUUGUUACUUCGUUCUGUUGUUGUAGGAAUUUAAAGGAGGUGCCUUGCAAACUUCUCUUCCACCUAAUUUUACUUGAAGAUAGAAAACAAAACCCAAAAACCAGCCAGCACCCAUCAAUUACAGGGAGCUUACAGCUAAAGUGCAUGACUUGCCAUGUAUUUCCGUGCUGCCGAAAGGCCGGUGGAAGAAGCAGCCUGCUCUACGUUGCAAAAGACGCUCGCACGACUCCCCCUGUGAUUCUCAUGGGCACAGACUCAGAAGAACGCAGGCAGAGUUAACCUCUGGGAUACUCACCUAACUCUAGAGCUGCUAUUAGUGCCAGCGCAACAAGAGCUUCGUUUUGCAUUAUUACAUGUUCACUGGUCGCCAUGGUUACUAAAUGCUUGAUGCCACCGCUCUGUACAAUGGUCCUAAUGACAUCCUAAAAGAAAUAGCAUAGAAAUAAUAAUAAUAAAAAGAUUCUGCAGUGCACACAAACUAUUAAAUAACAAAGUUGUCACCGAUGCUGUGUUAUCUCCAGAAAUCCAAAAAGGUUUUGAGACUUCCUGGAAUACUCUGGGAACUGCUAAUUUCUACUUGAGUUGGUGGACAAUUUUGGCUGUAUGCCCUGACAUGAAAAUUGUAAUGAUUUUAUAGGUGAACAUCACCCUCCAAAAGGCAGUACCAAGCAGAUAAGAGAUGACAGCAGUCAGGUUCAGUACCAGUGUAGUUUAACUGACAAGUACCUACUCCUUUUUUUAAA